This 73-nucleotide transfer RNA is filed under the name Punica granatum (pomegranate). It matches the Rfam family "tRNA". From Rfam's summary of the family: Transfer RNA (tRNA) molecules are approximately 80 nucleotides in length. Their secondary structure includes four short double-helical elements and three loops (D, anti-codon, and T loops). Lineage: Eukaryota; Viridiplantae; Streptophyta; Magnoliopsida; Myrtales; Lythraceae. The record is from Rfam by way of RNAcentral.
ACCCGUCUAACUCAGUUGGUAGAGCGCGAGGCUCUUAACCUUGCGGUCGUGAGUUCCAGCCCCAUGGUGGGCG